UGGGGAAUAUUGGACAAUGGGCGCAAGCCUGAUCCAGCCAUACCGCGUGGGUGAAGAAGGCCUUCGGGUUGUAAAGCCCUUUUGUUGGGAAAGAAAUCCUGUCGAUUAAUACUCGGUGGGGAUGACGGUACCCAAAGAAUAAGCACCGGCUAACUUCGUGCCAGCAGCCGCGGUAAUACGAAGGGUGCAAGCGUUACUCGGAAUUACUGGGCGUAAAGCGUGCGUAGGUGGUGGUUUAAGUCUGCUGUGAAAGCCCUGGGCUCAACCUGGGAAUUGCAGUGGAUACUGGAUCACUAGAGUGUGGUAGAGGGAUGCGGAAUUUCUGGUGUAGCAGUGAAAUGCGUAGAGAUCAGAAGGAACAUCCGUGGCGAAGGCGGCAUCCUGGGCCAACACUGACACUGAGGCACGAAAGCGUGGGGAGCAAACAG
Molecule: ribosomal RNA, 428 nt
Filed under: uncultured bacterium
Lineage: Bacteria
Description: bacterial SSU rRNA
Rfam family: Bacterial small subunit ribosomal RNA
Source: RNAcentral